RNAcentral lists this long non-coding RNA (7330 nucleotides) under Sus scrofa (pig). RNAcentral's name for it is "lncRNA (ENSSSCG00000054870.1)". Lineage: Eukaryota; Metazoa; Chordata; Mammalia; Artiodactyla; Suidae. The record is from RNAcentral.
AUUGACUUAAUUGUUUCUAAGCUAAACUGUUGUCUCAAGAAAAUGUUCAGUUGCCACUUUGUACUACACAGCGAAAAUGCUACCACUCUUGUAAACAGCUGGAGAGAAGAUAUUCAUAUGAUUGUCCCACAGUUGAGAGAGUUUUGCAAAUUCCAUAACCUCCAGUGUUGAAUGUAAAAUCUUCAGAUUCCAUGGAUGCAGCAGGGAAGAAGAAAAUGUAGUAGAGAUCUUCUAGUCUAAGCUACAAUGAGGUUAGUCCUUCCCUAGAGAACCUAAAAUUAAAAACACUUCUCCAUAAAAACUAAUGUUAUGGUAAGAGAGUAAUUGUCCCCUCUUGUAUUUCAGAUACAUCACAAAGACACUAUAAAAAAUAAUAGGCCAUAUCACUGAUGAACAUAGAUGCAAAAAUCCGCAAAAUAUUAGCAAACUGAAUUCAACAAUAAAGACAAAAAAAAAAGGAGUUCCUGUCUUGGUGCAGGGGAAGCGAAUCCCACUAGGAACCAUGAGGUUGUGGGUUCGAUCCCUGGCCUCACUCAGUGGGUUAAGGAUCCAGUGUUGCUUUGAAGGUCGCAGAUGUGGCUCAGAUCUGGUGUUGCUGUGGCUCUGGCGUAGGCCGGCAGCUGUAGCUCUGAUUAGAUCCCUAGCCUGGGAACCUCCAUAUGCCUGGGUGUGGCCCUAAAAAAAAGACAAAAGACAAAAGACAAAAAAAAUAAAUAAAAGGAUCACACACGACGAUCAAAUGGCUUUUAUCCCACAGAUGCAAGGAUGAUUCAAUAGCUGCAAAUCAAUGUGAUACACCACAUUAAUAAAUUGAAUAAUAGAAAUCAUAUGAUCAUUUCAAUAGAUACAGAAAAAGCAUUACACAAAAUUCAACAUCCAUUUAUGAUACAAACUCUCAACAAAGUGGAUAUAGAUGGAACAUACCUCAACAUAAUAAAGCCCAUAUAUGGCAAACCCACAGCUAACAUACUCAAGGAUAAAAAGCUGAAAGCAUUUCCUCUAAUAUCAAGAACAAGACAAGGAACAAGACAACAAAAGUUGCCCAUUCUUGCCACUUUCAUUCAACACUGAAUCUGCAAUCCUAGCUACAGCAAUCAGAAAUGAAAAAGAAAUAAAAAGAACCCAAUUGGAAAGGAAGAAGGAAAACUGCCACUGUUUCCAGAUGACAUGAUACUAUAUAUAGAAAAUCCUAGGAACUCCAUGAAAACUAUUAAAACUAAUAAAUGAAAUCAGUAAAGUUACAGGAUACAAAAUUAACAUACCUAAAUCUGUUGCAUGUUCUAUACACUAACAAUGAACUGUAAGAAAGAAAAAUUAAUAUUAGAGAAAUGCAAAUCAAAACUACAAUAAAGUAUCACCUCACACUAUUCAGAAUGGCUGUCAUCAAAAAGUCUACAAAUAGGACUUCCCGUGUGGCCCACAACAUAACUACUCAGCGUUGCUUCUACAGUGGCUGUAGCUCAACCCCUGGCCUGGGAACUUCCAUAUACUGCAGGUGCAGCCAAAAAAAAAAAAAAAAAGUCUACAAAUAAAAUAUGCUAGAGAGGGUGUAGAAAAAAAUGGAACCCUCCUACACUGUUGGUGGUAAUAUAGAUUGGUGCAGACACUGUGGAGAGGAGUAUGGAGGUUCCUUAAAAAUCUAAGAAUAGGAGUUCCCAUCGUGGCACAGUGGUUAAUGAAUCCGACUAGGAACCAUGAGGUUGCAGGUGUGAUCCCUGGCCUUGCUCAAUGAGUUAAGGAUCCGGCGUCACCAUGAGCUGUGGUGUAGGUUGCAGACACGGCUUGAAUCCUGAGUUGCUGUGUCUCUGGCAUAGGCCAGCAGCUACAGCUCUGAUUAGACCCCUAGCCUGGGAACCUCCAUAUGCCGCAGGAAGUGGCCCUAGAAAAGGCAAAAAGACAAAAAAAAAAAAAUCUAAGAAUAGAGUUACCAGAUGGUCAGCAACCCCACUGGUAGGUAUAAAUUUGGAAAAGACAAAAAUUCUAAUUCCAAAAUAUACAUGCACCUCAGUGUUCAUAGCAUCACAAUUUAUAGUAGCCAAGACAUGGAAGCCAUUUAAAUACCCACUGACAGAUUAAUGGAUAAAGCAGAUGUGGUAUGGGAGUUCCCUUGCAGCACAGUGAGUUGAGGAUCUGGAGUUGUCACUGCAAUGGCUUGAGUCACUGCUGUAGUGCAGGUUUGAUCCCUGGCCCAGGAAUUUCUACAUGCUGCAGAUGCAGCCAAAAAAAAAAAAUCAAAGAUGUGUUAUGUAUAGCUAUAUAAUACACACAAUGGAAUAUUACUCAGCCAUUAAAAAGAAUGAAACAAUGCCAUUUGCAGCAACAUGGAUUGAUCUAGAGAUUAACAUACUAAGCAAAGUAAGACAGAGAAAGACAAAUAAAUAUCACUUGUAUGUGGAAUCUAAGAAAGUGAUACAAAUGAACUUAUUUACAAAACAGAAAGAGACUCAUAGAUAUAGAAAACAAACUUAUUACCAAAUGGCAAAGGGAGGCAGGAGGGACAAAUUAGGAGGAUGGGAUUAACAUGUACGCAUUACCAUACAGAAAAUAGAUAAGCAACAAGGACCUACUGUAUAGCACAGGGGAACUAUAGUGCAGAUCUUUGUAAUAGCCUAUGAUGGAAAAGAAUCUGAAAAAGAAUAUAUAUAACAGAAUCUCUUUGCUGUACACCUGAAACUAGCACAAUAUUGUAAAUCAACUAUAUUUCAAUAAAAUAAGAAAUAAGAAAUUAAGAGAACAAUCCCAUAUGCAAUUCAUCAAAAAGAAUAAAAUACCUAGAAAGAAAUUUAAUUCUGGAGGUAAAAUUCUGGUACUCAGAAAACUGUAAAACACUGAUGAAAGAAAUUGAAGACGAUACAAACAAAUGGAAAAGUAUAACAUGCUCAUGGAGUGAAAGAAUUAAUAUUGUUGAAAUGACCAUACCACACCAGGCAAUAUACAGAUUUAAUGCAAUUCCUAUCAAAAUACUAAUAGCAUUUUUUCACAAAACUAAAAGAAAUAAUUCUAAAAUUUCCAUGGAAACACAAAAGACCCCUAAAGCCAAAACAAUCUUGAGAAAGGGGAACAGAUCUAGAGGAAUCACGUUUCCUGAUUUCAAACUAUACUCCAAACUAUCAUCAUCAAAACAGUAAUGUUACUGGCACAAGAACAAAUACGUAGAUCAAUGGAACAGAAUAGAGAACCAAGAAAUAAACCCAUGCUUAUCUGGUCAAUUAAUCUACAACAAAGGAGGCAAGAAUAUACAAUAGGAAAAAGAAAGCCUCUACAAUAAAUGGUGCUGGGAAAAAUGGAUAGCUACAUGCAAAGGAAUCAAUCUGCACUACUUUCUUACAUCAUAUAAAAAAUAAACUCAAAAUGGCUUAAGAACUUAAAUGUAAGACCUGCAACCAUAAAACUUAUGGAAGAAAAUUUAGGCAAUACACUCUUUGACAUUGGUCUUAGUAAUAUUUUUUUGGAUAUGUAUCCCCAGGCAAGGGAAUCAAAACAAAAAUAAAGACUAUGUCAAACCAAGAAGUUUUUGCACAGCAAAGAAAACUGGGCAAAACAAAAAGGCAGCCUACUAAAUGGGAGACUAUAUUUGCAAACAAGAUAUCCAAUAAUUGGUAGUAUCCAAAAUAUACAAAAAACUCAUACACCUCAACAUCAAAAGAAGAACCCGAUUUAAAAAUGGGAAGAGGAUCUGCAUAAACAUUUUUCUAAGGACAUACAGAUGGCCAACAGACACAUGAAAAGAUGCUCAACAUCACUAACCAUUAGGGAAAUGCAAAUCAAAACUAUAAUGAGAUACCACCUCACAUCUGUCAGAAUGCCUACCAUCAAAAAGACAACAAAUAACAAGUGCUGGCAAGGCUGUGGAGAAAGGGAACACUCAUGACCAUUGGUUGGGAUUGUAAAUUAGUGUGGCCAUUAUGAAAAACAGUAUGGUGGUUCCUCAAAAAAUUAAAAAUAGAACUGCCAGAGUUCCCAUAGUGGCUCAGCGGAAAAGGAUCUGAUUAGCAUCCAUGAGGAUGCAGGUUUGAUCCCUGGCCUCACUCAGUGGAUUAAGGAUCUGCCAUUAACGUGAGCUGUGGUGUAGAUCGAAGACUCGGCUCAGAUCUGGCGUUGCUGUGGCUAUGGCACAGGCUAGCGGCUACAGCUCCAAUUUGGCCCCUAGCCUGGGAACCUCCAUAUACCAUGUGUGUGGCCCUAAAAAACAACAACAAAAAAAUUGGAACCGCCAUGUGAUCUAGAAUCCAGCAAUUUCAUUUUUAGGUAUUUAAAACAAGAAAAAAAAAACUCUAAUUUGAAAAGAAAAUACACUCUAAUAUUCACUGCAACAUUAUUUAUAAUAGCCAAGAUAUGGAGUCAAGCUAAGUAUCCAUCAAUAGAGGAAUGGAUAAAGAAAUUCCACACACAAUGGACUAUUCCACAGACAAAUAUAAAAUAAAAUCUUGCUUUUUGGGAUAACAUCUAGCAGGUAUUAUGCUAGGUAAAAUAAGUCAGACAGAGAAAAACACUCUAUAAUCCAAUGCACAUUUGGAAUUUAAAAAGCAAAACAAACAAAACAAGUGAAAAUGUACUAAUAAAUACAAAGAACAAACAAGGGUUGGGGCAGGCAAAAUAGAUGAAGGGGAUUAAGAGGUACAAACCUCAGGUUAUGCAAUAAAUAAGGCAUAGAGAUGUAAUGUACAGCAUAAGGAAUAUGGUCAAUAAUAUUUUAACAACUUUGUAUGGGGACAGAUGGUUAUCAGAUUUAACAUGGUUAUCAUUCUAUAAUGCAUGCAAAGAUGAGAUCAUUAUGUAGUACACCUGAAAUCAACAUAAUAUUUUACUUCAUCUAUAUUUCAAUUGAAAAAUACAAAUCUAAUAUUGUUACACCUCUUCUUAAAAACCUUCAAUAUCUUCCAAUUACCCUAGAACAAAGCCUCAAAUUUUUACCAUAGUUCAAAAGGCCCUCCAAUACUCUAAGACCUAGGGUCUCUGUCUCUCUCUCUACCUACCUACCUAUUUAUAUAUACAUCUCUAUCUAUCAAGUGUGUGUUAGUGUUUGAUAUUUAUAGAAUACUUACUGUGAUGUAAGUGCAAAAUUACUUUAGAUGCAUUAUCUUAUGCAGUCCCCACAAAGUCCCUACGAGGUAGGUAAUAUUAUUUUUUUCCAUUUUACAAAUAAGUAAAUAGAGGUUUCAAGUAGUUUAGUGACUUGCCUGAGGCCACACAAUUGGUAACAAAGCUGAGAUUCAAACACAACCGUCUGGACUCCAAAGUCUGUACCUACUAAAGUAUACUCUUCCAAGUUCCUUCAUACACCAUGUUCCCUCUUUCUCUCUGCUCUGGUUUCACUGGACUUUCAGUUUCUCUUUGAGGGCCUUAAUAUAUGUAGUUUCCUCUACCUUGAUGACCUAAUUAGAAAUAAUUCCCUGGCAUUCAGAUGCUUCUGUGGAAGAUGUAGCCAUCCCAGAAAAAUACAUAUACACACAUUUAUAAAAUUCACUCUUCCCAAUCUUGUCUAUUCCCUUAGUGUAUGCCACCUGGAUUUUUAACUACUUAAUUAUGAAAUUACAACCAGGUCUGUUUUGUUGACUACCUCACAAUGACAAAAAAAAAUUGUUUUUUAAUUGCUUCCUGUUAGGCACAAGGUUGAUUUUGGUUUGGCUUUCUGAGACUAUCAAGCAACAGUCAUUAAGUCCUUAUAUCCUUUGCUCCUCAUGACUAAAAUAGAGAGACAAAAAUAAUACGGAUAACAGUGUAGGAGAGUAAGUACCCCUAUGAAUAGGUUCUCUCCAAAUAGGAGAGAAUGUUUUUACCGAACUCUUAAGGAAUAAAAGAUUCUACUUUACAUUACUUUUCUAACUAAAAGUCUCUAGCUAAGAUUAUUUUUAAGUUUAUACACAAUAGCUCUAGUUUUAGCUCUCCUGGAAAUGGCUACUUUAUAGUUUUGUAUACAAAGUUAUUCAUGAUGUUUUCUAAACGGAUAUUCAUCCCUUCUAGGAUUUUAAACAAUUUCAGAGAAAUUUUCUUUUUUUCCUCUACUGGUAAGCUUCCAUCUUAAUAGAUGUUUGGAACACAUUGUAUAUUUAGUUAUGAUUGGUCUAGGUAGUACACGUUCAAGGUUUGUGGCCUCAUAUCAUCUGUCACAAUAAAAAUACUUCAUCUUAAGAAUUAUCCCAUGUCCUUGCCCAUGAAGUUUGUGUUAUGACACCUGUAAUUUAGAGACUUAGGAUUGGAGUGAGUGCCUGGCUGGGAGUUUUAUUAGACUGGAAGAGAGAUAAUAUUUGAAGAAGGCAGAAAAGAGAAUUUCAAAAAGGCCACCUAAGACCAUGAGAAGCAAACAGAUAUGAUAGGGCCAGAGAGAAAAAAAAUAGAUCCAGUUUUUAGUUUCCUCCUCUGUAAAAUGAAGUUACACUAAAUGAUCUCUCAGUUCCCUUCCAGCCAUUAAGUUGCAUCAUCCAAAUCCUGCAGGAUGAGCCAAGAUAAGCUCCUUAAAGAGGACAAUUAGCAGAGAUCAGAAACCUUCUUAGAGUAAUGGAAAUAAAAACAAAAAUACCAAACAGGACCUAAUUAAACUUAAAAACUUUUGCAUAGCAAAGGAAACCAUAAAGAAAACAAAAAGACAAACUAUAGAAUGGAGAAAAUAUUUGCAAAUGAUGUGAACAACAAGGGAUUAAUUCCCAAAAUAGACAAACAGCUUAUACAGCUCAGUAUCAAAAAAACCAAAAAACCUAGUCAAAAAAUGGACAAAAGAUCUCAAUAGACAUUUCUCCAACAAAGUCAUACAGAUGGCCAACAGGCACAUGAAAAAAAUGCUCACCACCACUAAUUAUUAGAGAAAUGCAAAUCAAACCUACAAUGAAGUUAUCACCUCAGUGCAGUCAGAAUGGCCAUCAUCAAAAAGUCUACAAACAAUAAAUGCUGGCAAAGUGAAAUGGGAACCCCCCUACACUGUUUGUAGGAAUAUAAAUCAAUGCAGCUACUAUGGAGGACAGUAUGGAGAUUCCCCCCAAAAUUAAAAAUGGAUCCACCAUAUGAUCCUGCAAUCCCAUUCCUGGGCAUAUAUCUGGAGAAAAUUAUAACUCAAAAAUGUACAUGCACUGCAGUGUUCAUUGCAGCACUAUUUACAAUAGCCAAGACAUGGAAGCAACCUAAAUGUCCAUCACUGACAGAUGAAUGGAUAAAGAAAAUGCAGUAUAGCAGUUCCCGUUGUGGUGCAGUGGUUAACAAACCUGACUAGGAACCAUGAGGUUGCAGGUUUGACCCCGGGCCUUGCUCAGUGGGUUAAGGAUCCGGCAUUGCCGUGACUUGUGGUAUAGGUCACAGACACAGCUUGGAUCCCACGUUGCUGUGCUCUGGUGUAGGC